Molecule: ribosomal RNA, 433 nt
Filed under: uncultured bacterium
Lineage: Bacteria
Description: partial 16S ribosomal RNA
Rfam family: Bacterial small subunit ribosomal RNA
Source: RNAcentral
AACGAACGCUGGCGGCAUGCCUAACACAUGCAAGUCGAACGAUGCCUUCGGGCCUAGUGGCGCACGGGUGCGUAACGCGUGGGAAUCUGCCUUUAGGUUCGGAAUAACUCCCGGAAACUGGUGCUAAUACCGGAUAAUGUCGCCGGACCAAAGAUUUAUCACCGAAGGAUGAGCCCGCGUAGGAUUAGCUAGUUGGUGAGGUAAAGGCCCACCAAGGCGACGAUCCUUAGCUGGUCUGAGAGGAUGAUCAGCCACACUGGGACUGAGACACGGCCCAGACUCCUACGGGAGGCAGCAGUGGGGAAUAUUGGACAAUGGGCGAAAGCCUGAUCCAGCAAUGCCGCGUGAGUGAUGAAGGCCUUAGGGUUGUAAAGCUCUUUUACCCGGGAAGAUAAUGACAGUACCGGGAGAAUAAGCCCCGGCUAACUCCGUG